This 467-nucleotide ribosomal RNA is filed under the name uncultured bacterium. RNAcentral describes it as "bacterial SSU rRNA". It matches the Rfam family "Bacterial small subunit ribosomal RNA", at positions 43 to 504 of the family's 1533-position model. The record is from RNAcentral.
CAGGCCUAACACAUGCAAGUCGAGCGGAGCGAGGGUGCUUGCACCUUAGCUUAGCGGCGGACGGGUGAGUAAUGCUUAGGAAUCUGCCUAUUAGUGGGGGACAACAUUCCGAAAGGAAUGCUAAUACCGCAUACGCCCUACGGGGGAAAGCAGGGGAUCUUCGGACCUUGCGCUAAUAGAUGAGCCUAAGUCGGAUUAGCUAGUUGGUGGGGUAAAGGCCUACCAAGGCGACGAUCUGUAGCGGGUCUGAGAGGAUGAUCCGCCACACUGGGACUGAGACACGGCCCAGACUCCUACGGGAGGCAGCAGUGGGGAAUAUUGGACAAUGGGCGGAAGCCUGAUCCAGCCAUGCCGCGUGUGUGAAGAAGGCCUUUUGGUUGUAAAGCACUUUAAGCGAGGAGGAGGCUCUUAAGGUUAAUACCCUUGAUGAGUGGACGUUACUCGCAGAAUAAGCACCGGCUAACUCG